GGGGAGAUGCCGGAGUGGCCGAACGGGACGGAUUCGAAAUCCGUUGUGUUAGCGAUAGCACCUAGGGUUCGAAUCCCUAUUUCCCCG
This 87-nucleotide transfer RNA is filed under the name Pseudomonas sp. GV071. It matches the Rfam family "tRNA". From Rfam's summary of the family: Transfer RNA (tRNA) molecules are approximately 80 nucleotides in length. Lineage: Bacteria; Pseudomonadati; Pseudomonadota; Gammaproteobacteria; Pseudomonadales; Pseudomonadaceae. The record is from Rfam by way of RNAcentral.